This 427-nucleotide ribosomal RNA is filed under the name uncultured bacterium. Its description in RNAcentral is "bacterial SSU rRNA". It matches the Rfam family "Bacterial small subunit ribosomal RNA", at positions 355 to 774 of the family's 1533-position model. The record is from RNAcentral.
UAGGGAAUAUUGGACAAUGGGGGCAACCUUGAUCCAGCCAUGCCGCGUGAGUGAAGAAGGCCCUCGGGUUGUAAAGCUCUUUUGUCCGGAAAGAAAAGCAUUCGGUGAAUACCCGGAUGUUCUGACGGUACCGGAAGAAUAAGCACCGGCUAACUUCGUGCCAGCAGCCGCGGUAAUACGAAGGGUGCAAGCGUUACUCGGAUUUACUGGGCGUAAAGCGUGCGUAGGUGGUUUUUUAAGUCUGAUGUGAAAGCCCUGGGCUCAACCUGGGAAUGGCAUUGGAAACUGGGCAGCUAGAGUGCGGUAGAGGGUAGUGGAAUUCCCGGUGUAGCAGUGAAAUGCGUAGAGAUCGGGAGGAACAUCUGUGGCGAAGGCGACUGCCUGGACCAGCACUGACACUGAGGCACGAAAGCGUGGGGAGCAAACA